This 176-nucleotide non-coding RNA is filed under the name Nitrosomonadales bacterium. RNAcentral's name for it is "6S RNA". It matches the Rfam family "6S / SsrS RNA". From Rfam's summary of the family: E. coli 6S RNA was the first non coding RNA to be sequenced, but its function was unknown until recently. Lineage: Bacteria; Pseudomonadati; Pseudomonadota; Betaproteobacteria; Nitrosomonadales. The record is from RNAcentral.
UGUCCCCUGCGGUGUCCGUCAGACCUGUAAUUCUUUGAGCCAAUAGUUUAGCUUAGGUCGCGACCCGCAAGGCCGCUGUUGUGAACGUCCAUCCGGAUGAUCCUGAUGCGGCAGGGAAGUGACCCUCUUGGACCGCAGGUUCAAGAUGCCGGGUCAACGGCACAGGUGGGGGACUU